RNAcentral lists this unclassified non-coding RNA (340 nucleotides) under Hevea brasiliensis (rubber tree). The record is from RNAcentral. Lineage: Eukaryota; Viridiplantae; Streptophyta; Magnoliopsida; Malpighiales; Euphorbiaceae.
AAUGCUUCUAGCAGCAAUGUUUCAAUGACAAAAUGUUGGCGACCUGAAUAAUUGAAAUACUGUACCAAACUAGGUACCAACUAAGUCUACCUCCUGCUUCCUACAGACUAUGGCAUGUGACAUAUCCCGUUCAUGUACCAAGACCUGGAUAGUACCAUGUUCUUGGUAACUAAGUAACUAUGAUUUAGUAAGUGUGUAUUUGUUAAAUAAGGGGAACUUAGUUGAUAAGCAAACGGGUGGGAGAAGACAUGGUAAUUAACAAAUACACAAGGAAGCUAGGUGGGAUCCCAAUAACUCACUGCAUAAACUCAAGUCAGUAGUUUUUCCCACCUAGCUUCCU